RNAcentral lists this ribosomal RNA (420 nucleotides) under uncultured bacterium. Its description in RNAcentral is "bacterial SSU rRNA". It matches the Rfam family "Bacterial small subunit ribosomal RNA", at positions 355 to 774 of the family's 1533-position model. The record is from RNAcentral.
UAAGGAAUAUUGCUCAAUGGGAGAAAUCCUGAAGCAGCAACGCCGCGUGGAGGAUGAAGGGUCUAUGACUUGUAAACUCCUGUAAAGAAGGAAAAAAUUCCCAUUAGAUGGGAGAUGAUGGUACUUCUGGAGUAAGCCCCGGCUAACUACGUGCCAGCAGCCGCGGUAAUACGUAGGGGGCAAGCGUUGUCCGGAUUUACUGGGUGUAAAGGGUGCUCAGGCGGAUUUGUAAGUCAGAGGUGAAAUCUUACAGCUUAACUGUGAAACUGCCUUUGAUACUGCAAGCCUAGAGUAUGGAAGAGAGUGAUGGAAUAUCUGGUGUUGCAGUGAAAUGCGUAGAUAUCAGAUAGAACACCAAUGGCGAAGGCAGUCACUUGGUCCACUACUGACGCUAAAGCACGAAAGCGUGGGUAGCAAACA